AAAGGGCAGGUAGGUGGUCUCGUUUGUCUGGGGUGAAAGCCUUGAGCUUAACUCAAGAAGUGCCCCAGAAACGGCGAGACUAGAGUACUGGAGAGGGUCGUGGAAUUCCCGGUGUAGCGGUGAAAUGCGUAGAGAUCGGGAGGAACACCAGCGGCGAAGGCGGCGACCUGGACAGUUACUGACACUCAACUGCGAAAGCGUGGGGAGCAAACAGGAUUAGAUACCCGUGU
RNAcentral lists this ribosomal RNA (230 nucleotides) under uncultured bacterium. Its description in RNAcentral is "partial 16S ribosomal RNA". It matches the Rfam family "Bacterial small subunit ribosomal RNA", at positions 562 to 791 of the family's 1533-position model. The record is from RNAcentral.